Molecule: ribosomal RNA, 472 nt
Filed under: uncultured bacterium
Lineage: Bacteria
Description: bacterial SSU rRNA
Rfam family: Bacterial small subunit ribosomal RNA
Source: RNAcentral
UGGGGAAUUUUGGACAAUGGGGGCAACCCUGAUCCAGCCAUUCCGCGUGAGUGAAGAAGGCCUUCGGGUUGUAAAGCUCUUUCAGCAGGAACGAAACGGUCGGCUUUAAUAAAGUCGGCUAAUGACGGUACCUGCAGAAGAAGCACCGGCUAACUACGUGCCAGCAGCCGCGGUAAUACGUAGGGUGCGAGCGUUAAUCGGAAUUACUGGGCGUAAAGCGUGCGCAGGCGGCGACAUAAGACAGAUGUGAAAUCCCCGGGCUCAACCUGGGAACUGCGUUUGUGACUGUGUUGCUAGAGUGUAGCAGAGGGGGGUGGAAUUCCACGUGUAGCAGUGAAAUGCGUAGAGAUGUGGAGGAACACCGAUGGCGAAGGCAGCCCCCUGGGUUAACACUGACGCUCAUGCACGAAAGCGUGGGGAGCAAACAGGAUUAGAUACCCUAGUAGUCCCUGAGCGGGCUGGCAAGGCGCAU